UCACAAAUGAAAUGGUCAUGCAUACAUAUCCAAUAUAUUACAAGUUCACAACAAUAACAAACCGAUCAUGAGUUCAAAGUCCACACACGCAUACAUAUCUAACAUAGUUUCACAAAAACACACAUACAUAUUCAAGGAGGGUUCACAACAUGUGUACAUAUGCAACAAGAGUUAACAAACAAAAGCAUGAGUUCAACCUACAAUAUGCAAUGAGCUUCCACC
This 222-nucleotide long non-coding RNA is filed under the name Hordeum vulgare. RNAcentral's name for it is "long non-coding RNA (HVUL_LNC017621)". Lineage: Eukaryota; Viridiplantae; Streptophyta; Magnoliopsida; Poales; Poaceae. The record is from RNAcentral.